This 3356-nucleotide unclassified non-coding RNA is filed under the name Hevea brasiliensis (rubber tree). The record is from RNAcentral. Lineage: Eukaryota; Viridiplantae; Streptophyta; Magnoliopsida; Malpighiales; Euphorbiaceae.
UUUCACAUAAUUAUGUACCUGUCUAAAAUAUUCCAAAUGACACUUUUUUUUUUCCAUUUUUGUCUAUUUCUGCUCAUUCAUUGAAGGGGUACUUUAGCCAUUGCAUAGCGCCUGAUACACUCUUCCUUUCACCUGCUUUACUGUAGUGAGCUGGAAUUUGGUUUUAAUGUGUUUUAUAUUUCUCUCCGCUUCUUUCCCCUCUUCUUAGUGGCAGUGGCCGCAAGACAUUGUUUUAGUUACUAAAAAAUUGUACAGCCAGGAAUAUGCCCACUCUUGAGCUAUAGAAUAUGAACAGUCAAACGCUUAAAUUGAAUCAAUGAAUUAAAAGAGUAGGUUCAGGGGUGAACCAAGCAGACAUUUCAAGUGUGGAGGUCCGCUGAUGUGAAGAAACACAUUCCACUGAGUUUACAUGGUAUGGACAUGUGGUAUGGUCAAAACCUGAAGUCAGUGUCUCCUCUCACCCUCUGUUCCUUCCAGAAUGGGCCUUCUGUCCCGGCUAUUGACACUAUGAUGUUGAGAAUCGAUAUAUACACUCUGAAGUUCUGAUUCCCGCACAUUAAGAAAAUUGGAGUUAUUAGAAGACUGAGCACCAUUCUGCGAUUCUGCCAACAUCUGAAAGUAAGCAUGAGGUCCCCAGCCAUCUAUAUCAUAUGGGGGAGGGAAAAAUUGCAAGUAACAAAAUGAAGCAACUGUCAGCCCUAUAAGAGCCCCAGCAAAUACAUCCUGCCAGUGAUGCCAGUAGUCAUCGACUCGAGAAAUUCCUACAAGGGCUGCAACAAGUAAUGGUAGGAAAAUAAUACAAAGCUUUGCAACAUGGCCCCUACGAUCAAAAGCCCUGAUUUUCCCAGAUAAGUACCAUGACAGAAAACCAAGACCUGCAAAGGACCCUGCAUAUCAACGAGCAGAAUUCUUCUUAGCUAACAUCUCAUUAUGGAUGCAAUGAGUUCCUGCACACAAGGAAUAUUUAGCAUACAUGCCCUGAAAGGCCAAAGCAGUGAAAACAAAAGUUUUACUUUUCCUUACAAUUAAUAGGAUUUUUUUUCCUCAAAAACUAUAUGAACUUGUGGAAGUGAGAAGAACUGUUUGCAAUAAAACACAUAAUAUUGAAAAUUUCAAAUUGCUUCCUACUUUAUCAGUUUGUCUAGUUAAGACACUAUCACCAUAUACAAAAAGGAAAUUUAGAAUAGCUUUUAAAAUUCUACAUCGCAUAUAGUCUAAAGGGUGUAAAAAAAACAGCUAUGGACCCUUCUCUUUUCUUUAUUUUUUCUUUUUCCAGGUGGGGGUACCUCUGUUGCCUGCUGGACUAUGCUAAACUGUAUGAGAAAAAACCUAGGCCAUUGAGUCAAUGCAAUCCAACUGCAAACCAAGUGGAUCCUUUGUAUAAAGCAGCAUUCCCUAAGUCAAUCUUCAUCACAGUUUAAUUAUUGGGACAAGAAGCAAUAAAAUAAGGAAAAAUAAUCUAAGACUAUAUAGAAUUGUUACCAACCAGAAUUAAGCACAUUCCAUGAUACAUCCAAGAAGAGUAGUUAAUUUUACUUUAUCUGCUGGAAGUCUGAAACUUUAGUCUAUGAAAUAGAAGCAAAUACUUGUGCAAUAGAGGACAGAAAAAGUUAAACAGCACUCUGCUAUUUCAUAACAACCAGGACAAGUGCUUACUGCUUAUAGAAAGAGGCUAAGAAAAUAUAUGCAAACAGCAAUUUCCCAGAAAAUAUACCAUGAAAUAGAAAAGCAAAAAGCCAUAAAUUAAAUAGGAAACCCCAUAUAUCUCAUAUAAUCAUAAAGUUCUUAUACUUAAUUGGGCUGCUUACAAGAAGUGUGUCCGCUAGGGAAACUUUUGUGCCCUUCCUUGAUGACACUCUUCACCCCCGUACACAUAACAUUGGUUGUGACAUUGUUAAACAACUGGAUAUACGUGCAUGUUGAUUGAGUAAAAAUAUGAGCACAAGUAAGAACUCAGUUAUACAAACUUUGAGCCAAACAAUAUUUCAAAUGAAUAUCAGGCAGUUAAUUAAUUGAGGAACUCACUCCCUUGCCAUCUGGGAAACAACGCCAAAAGAAAUCAGGUCUAGGACGGCCAACAGCAUCUUUAAUUGCAUCAGUUAUAACUCCAGUGAUAAGCACUGAAAAUAGAAGGCCCAGAAUGGCAUGGUGCAGAUCAUAGACAUCCUUUCUGAUAAAGUAAUAGACAACAAUAAUGACAAAAGGCAGCAAUGUUGCAACAACUGGAACAGCCCAAAAGGGAACUGUAUUAUCCUUCAGUGGGUAUGACAGGUCUAUCAUCAUAUCUCUCCCAACAAACCGGUGAAAUGGUUCUAUAACAUUCAAUAUGACAUCUAUCACCGCAAGAAGCAAAAGAAUCAACCAGUCAUGCAUAUGUGUCCUGGCAACUUUGACCCCAUGUGAUCUUACAGUGUGAGCACCCAACUGAAUCUCAGGCAUUUUGUUGGUGAUCUGAAUCCAAAUUAGAAAGUUAGCUGAUGAUAAUAAUACCAAAAUUUGAAGAGCAUGUGUGAACUCAAAAAUCAUACUGACAAAGAAGGUACAAAGUACAGUCAAACGUGCAAAACACACUACAUUGUUGCAAAUAUGAAGGAAGAAAGCAGAGAAAAAAAAAAUGUUACUCAUUAAAUGAUAAAAAAAAAUAGUAGUGAGAAGGUUGCUAGUCAAAACAUAAUAGUCAACAGCAAUGACAUAACAACAAUAAAGCAACUACCAAAUGUCAGCACCAAAACAUUUGCAUUCUGAACUUGUUAAGCAAAAUUAGGAUAAAUCAUUACCAAAUAGGAAUGUGGAAGGUUUAGCAGGGAAAUGUUGGAGUAAGCAUGCAUAUAUAACAGAAUAACAGACAGAACAAGUUUUUGCUAAUUUCUCCUCAUACCCUUCCAAUACAAGAAUAAUUUUCCCUUGAAUACACAAAAUAAGUGCUGAAGUCCAGAAGAAGCAAUGGAAGACACAAUUUAUUGACUGCCUCCAGUAAUGAACAAAACUGUAGCCUAACCAUUUUGGCCCAAGUUAUUAUACCAAACCCCAGCAAAACAUAUGUAUACCAUAGGUUGCCCAAAGAGAAUGGGCACAGCACAACCACAAGCAAUCAUUGCUCAAUUGCAGUCCAAAUCACGGUCGUGCUUGGCUUAACCACAUCAAAUAAGGCUCAAAGGCCAAAGGACAAGGGUUUGCCACAGGGGAGUUUGAUGUGAAACUAUUAAUGUAUGCUGAAUUCCAUUUUAAUUGUUGGGUUGGAGCAAAAACGUAAAGUAGGAUGAAAGUUUCCAAACAACAUAGAACUCUCUUCAAUAGUUUACAACAUAUAUAACAGACACAUGUUAGACAACCCAUGCACUCCCAAAGAGAGAGAG